Long non-coding RNA from Microcebus murinus (gray mouse lemur), 5002 nucleotides. RefSeq lists it as uncharacterized. NCBI's taxonomy places the organism in Eukaryota, Metazoa, Chordata, Mammalia, Primates, Cheirogaleidae. The record is from RefSeq and is a predicted model, not a curated record.
GAAUCAAAUUCUAAUUCCUGCCAGUACUUCCUAAGCAGUUUUUAGCUUCUACGAGGAAAGACUCCAAAUAAUGACAAUGCCACAUAAAUGAAAAGAAUUUUGGACAAUGACACUGCUCAAUUUUUUUUUUUUAGCAUUCUGUGAAUUUCCUAUUACAUCAGUUUCAUGAUUCAGCAUUUUCCAUUUCAUUUAUUUACAGUAAUAUAUGGCGAUACAACCCCAGGUUUCCGCAGGACCCUGGAACAUAAGGUAGGCUUGGGCAGGAAGGGUGUCGCCUUCUGCAAAUUUACUGCUGCUUAGGAGAAUUCAAAACAUAAGAAAGCAAGCCAACGAAGGUAUUGAGAAAUAUUUCCCCACCUUGUUCUGAGGGUCUAAAUUACUCUAGUAUUUAAAAUGAAUUGGCUUUGAAAAAUAGGUUACUGCUAUUUAGUUGAUGAGUAAAACAGAAGCCAAAAGUGUGCAAAUUGCAAACUGAAACGCAUGAGCCAAACAUAUUCUCUGAAAUGACAAUGUUCAAGACGCAACUAAAGUCACCACUCUGGCGGUAAGCGUGUUAGAGAGAACUAGAUUUCUUUCUGGCAUCUGCAACUUGGCUGGAGUGACCAAGGAGGAGUUGAAGAGCGCUGGAAAUGCGAAGAUGAGAAAACUGAGGCACAGAGAGGCUGUAUAACGUGCCUGAGGUCACACAGCGAGUGCGGCAGAGUCAUCUGGCUCCAAAGCUGUGCAGGUAACCGCCGUUGUUUGGCAAUCAAAGGCUUCCAGCCCCCACGGACCGACCUCUGACUGGCAGAGAUCCUCUAUUGAAUUUUAAAUACCCUCUGUUUCCCCCUGCAUGCUCCUAACAACAACAGAAACAAAACAAAUAAACAAACAAAAAACUAUGCAAUUCCAAGUGCCAGAAUAGCUCUGCUCAUCUGAGGAAGAAACCCUUGAACAUCAAUGAACCGUGCUUAAAAUCUGCCAUUUCACUGCCGACUUUUCAGAAAAGCAUCACCCUGCAAAGAAGUUGCUCUUGAAUGCAAACCUCAUGAUUGCCAGAAUCAUCUAAUGUUCUGACUUGCCGCAUUCUCACUUCGGAAUUGGGUGUUUUAGCUAGGAGAGGUGCAUUAAUUCUCCGCGUGACCACAGACUGAAACACAAGUGGCAUUAACAAAUUACCAGUGAUGGGUAUGCAAAUGGAGCAAGGACAAAUAUUAAAACAGCCCUAUCUCGCUUUGCCGCUACUUCGUCUUGUCCAAAAUUCAUAAAAAUAUUAAUCCUCCAGAACACUUAGUAAUGCAUAUAGGAUAAUAUUCUUGAGGAAGCUAAUAAUUAUCUCUUGUUAGCAAGAUCAACUUACUACAAUCUUUCACUGCAGGGACAGAAAAAUAUUGUGACUUUGCUAUGCUAAGUGAAAUGCAGUGGCAGGAUAAAUUAGAACAUUUAAACUAACAGUAAUAAACACACACAGCUAUAGUUCCCAUCUACAUAUAAUUGAUAAAAUUAACAGAAAAUGGGCAUGGUGGUAAUAGAAGAAUGCAUUAUGAACGGUUGAUUGAGACACAAAAGGACAAACUUUCUUCUAUUGCUUAUGUUGUUAUAGCUCAUAUUUAUUAGGCACCCACUGUGCACAGCAUAACUCUUAUCAGGGACAAGGAUAAUAAUAAAUUACUACCUGUCAACCACGUGCACAGUGACUUCAUUAUGUGUCUAGGCAGCACUCUUAUUAAGUCUUUGGAAUCCAUUAAAAGUUUCAUUUUGAAACAAUGAACCAAGAGGAACAAAUUUAUAAAUUGUAGAUCUCUGGUAUUAACCCAAAGACUUAGCCUUGAAGAGAAAAAAAAAAAAAGAAUUCUAAGGAAAAAAAUUAAUUUCUGCCAAGGAAAAUCUAAGAACAUACAUUAGCAGGUCCUACCAGAUGCCUCCGGGGGUGCUGUAACAGAGAUAAGGCAAAUGUCUAAUUUCACAGAAAAAAAUUUAUAGACUAGACUUUGAAUCAGGCAGAAUCCAAAACCCUUCCCUACCUGGCUCUCAAUCAAAUGGCGCAAUAAACAGCAACGUCCUCAGACAUCCAGAGUCCCCUGGGACGUCUGGACCCGAUCAGUAUCGUGUUCAUCUCCACUGACACAUCCAGACGCAGCUGACGCACUGCAUUUACCAGGUUAAUUUGCUUGGUGCACAGGGUAGACUUUGCAAAGUCUGUGAUACAUCCCCACAUCCAUAUAUGAACGUCUCUUUGCAGUGUGACUUUUCACGCCCCCCCUCCGCCCCCAUCAAGUGGUAGACUCUAUUCCUCCUUGCCUCCACUCUAGGAAGGCUUUGUAACCUGAUCAAACAAAAUCAAUGCAAGUGAUAUUUUGGCAACUUCUGAAAGUUUUGAUAUUUUGGCCUAAGCCUUAAGGCACCUUGCCGCUUUCAACCCUGCCUUCUUAGAACCCAGGGCCACCAGGUAAGGGAGCCGCUGCUAGCCGCCUUGAAGACGAGACUCUGCGUGGAGAUUGAGAGUGGAGGCCAGCCGGCAGCCGGUAUCGACGGCCAGAUGUGUGAGGCCAUCCUGAACCAUCUAGUCCCAGUCAUACGACCAGGUGACAGCAGCUGCAGAAGUGACUCCAGGAGAGACCGAGCAGCACCACCCAGGGGAGCCCAGCACACGUAGCAGACCCUCAGAAUUGCAAGCAAAUAAAAUAGUUGUGAACUGUGAGCCACUCAGUUGGGGGGCAGUUUUGUUUGUUACACAGCAAUAGGCAACUAGACAAUGAACAAGGUGAUCAACACUUUCGAAUUUUGUGCAGUACUUGAAAAGAACAAAGAACGAUUCUACUCUGACUCCUUCUACACGAGCCCAGCCUCGGGGACCGUGUGAGCUUGUGGUGCUAAGGAAUUUCUUCUUGUUCUUCCCCGUCAUCUCUCAAAAGCAAUUCACUCUGAGACUGAACUGCUCAACCUUCCUUUGCCAAGGGAUUAAUAAAAAUUGAAGGCUGAGAAGUGCUUGUUCGGGGGUUGACUGAUGGCUGUUUGCGGUGGGGUGGGUGGGGAGGCGGCCCCAGGCAUCCUCCUCUGUCGGGUUUCGGUUUAGUUCAAAGGCGCUCUGUUGCCAGAAUUCCCUCUUCUUCCAGUCUUUUCCCAAGAAGGCCUUCAGUUGCCAGAAUUCCCUCUUCUUCCAGUCUUUUCCCAAGAAGGCCUUCAGCGGGUGGAUGGGGCCCGCCCACAUUACGUAGGAUAAUCUACUUUCCUCUGAAUGGACUCAUUUACAUGCUAUUCUCAUCUAAAAUAUGCCUUAAAAAUACCUCUCAUCUAAGAAACACCUAAAAUGUUCCACCAACUUUCUGGUUACUGUGGCUUAGCCAAAAUUGAUGCAUAAAAUAACCAUCACAGAGGGUGUCUCCCCCCAAAGAAAGAUAUGCUAACGUCCUAAUUCCCGGCGCCUCAGGACGUGGGCUUGUGUAGAGGUAAGGUCACGACAGGUAGUCACGCUAACAUGAGGCUGUUAGGGUGGGCGCUAACUCAGUAUAACUGGUGUCUUUACGAAAAGGGGAAAUUUGGACACAGAGACGGACACGCGCGGGGGAGGGCGACGUGCGGAUAAGACGGCACGUGACCGAGGGAAAGCAUCUACCCCAGGAAAGCCCAGGGUGGCCGGCAAACUCCAGAUACUGGAGGAAGCAAGGAAGGAGACUCCCUUGGAGCGUGGCCCUGUGUGCACCUUGAUCUUGGACGUCCAGCCUCCAGAACUGCGAGACAAUAGGCUUUUGUUUUAAGCCAUCCAGUUUGGGUGCGUUGUUAUGACAACUCUAGGGGAAGGAUGGAGAUGGGUAGCAGGGAGCUCGUUUCCAGGUCUGAGCGGAGACCACAGGCAGCGGUACCGCUGGGGGAGGCGCAGAGGGAGCUGAAUGCAGGCCCAGUGGUCUCUCCUGGGGCUCCCGUCCUCACGGCGGGGACCUUUGACAAGCCGGGGAGACAGGCCUGAGGGGAGCUUGGCAAGCUUCUAUUUCCUUCCAAAGAAGCAAGAGUGUUCCCUAGAUACCUGCUCACCAAGUAGAGUGGUAUUAUGGGGGUCCUUUGCUGUGAAUUUGGGGGUUCCAGGGGCCUCAGCUCAGGCAUCUAGGGAAGGAAUUUAGCAACAUCCAGUACGUGGCUGCUGGUCCCGCAUUCCAUGAUGACAGCUCACGCCAUGGCGGAGAGAUUUCAGAGCAACCCGGGAGAAGUCACGCUGACAAAACGGGCAACGGCACAGGCUCUGGAGCCAGGCAGACCUGGGUCAGUCUCCACUCUCCCAGUCACCAGUUAAUAACGCUGAGCACUUCAGGUCCACAAUCUCAUUGAGUCAUUCUGACAACUCAUUUUAUAGAUGAGAGACUGAAGCUCAGAGAGGUUAACUGACCUCCCCAAAGUCACACAGCCAGCCAGGAUUCUAAUCCAGGCAGGCUGACCACCAAGUCCCCAAAUUCUUAAUUGGCAUACCUGACAAAAGCAUGCCAGGGACAUCAUGGCUAGGAUUAAGCCCCUAUAUUUAAUCAAGCCAACCAGCAGGCCAGAAGCACCCAUUCUGUUAGAUAUUAUUAAAAGUAUCAAAAAAAGCAAAACUGGGGCCUUGUUCUGGAGGUGUUGACAGUCUAGUUGAUAGGAGGACACCCACUUGGGAAUAAUUAUGAUUGACACCGCCCCCCUUUUGGGGAAUGUGGAAAGCUUAAGUUUGCCCACAGGGAAAGCUUUAGCUACUGGGGACAUCACCAUUUUUAAUGGUGUUUGGCAUGUUGCCCUCCAAACACAUCAGCAGGUGAAAGCAUUUUAUUAGAGACUUCUACUGGCAUAGUGAGAGAGUUGAAAACUAAAGGAAGCUGGGCCAUUGCUUAAAAUGCUAGGCAGCAGGCCCAAAUUGUAGUUAAUCACUACUGUAGGCAAAUCACUGAUUAAUUCCAACUUUAUUUCCCCUCAUUGUGCGUCUCCUGCAUCCAUGCUACCUACCUGACUCCCAGGAAUGGGUGGGGGUGAGGGCUGGUCAGAUAAAAGUGCUGUCACAGUU